RNAcentral lists this ribosomal RNA (811 nucleotides) under marine metagenome. Its description in RNAcentral is "bacterial SSU rRNA". It matches the Rfam family "Bacterial small subunit ribosomal RNA", at positions 636 to 1448 of the family's 1533-position model. The record is from RNAcentral.
ACUCACUAGAGUACGAUAGAGGGAGGUAGAAUUCAUAGUGUAGCGGUGGAAUGCGUAUAUAUUAUGAAGAAUACCAGUGGCGAAGGCGGCCUCCUGGAUCUGUACUGACACUAAGGUGCGAAAGCGUGGGUAGCGAACAGGAUUAGAUACCCUGGUAGUCCACGCCGUAAACGAUGACAACUAGCUGUUGGGAGACAAUGUCUUUCAGUGGCGCAGCUAACGUUUUAAGUUGUCCGCCUGGGGAGUACGGCCGCAAGGCUAAAACUCAAAUGAAUUGACGGGGACCCGCACAAGCGGUGGAGCAUGUGGUUUAAUUCGAUGCAACGCGAAAAACCUUACCUACUCUUGACAUACUUGGAAGCUCUUGUAAUGAGAGCGUGCCUUUUGGAGCCAAGAUACAGGUGCUGCAUGGCUGUCGUCAGCUCGUGUCGUGAGAUGUUCCGUUAAGUCGGAUAACGAGCGCAACCCUUACCCUUAUUUGCCAGCGAUUCGGUCGGGAACUAUAAGGGGACUGCCGGUGAUAAACCGGAGGAAGGUGAGGACGACGUCAAGUCAUCAUGGCCCUUACGAGUAGGGCUACACACGUGCUACAAUGGGGAAUACAGACGGACGCUAAGCCGCGAGGUGGCGCUAAUCCUAUAAAGUUCUUCGUAGUCCGGAUUGGAGUCUGCAACUCGACUCCAUGAAGUCGGAAUCGCUAGUAAUCGCGAAUCAGCAUGUCGCGGUGAAUACGUUCUCGGGUCUUGUACACACCGCCCGUCACACCAUGGAAGUGGAUUGCACCAGAAGUAGAUAGUCUAACCUUCGGGAG